UGGGGCAUAGCUCAGGGGUUAGAGCGCGCGCUUGAUAAGCGUGAGGCCGUUGGUUCGAGACCAACUGUCCCUACCA
This 76-nucleotide transfer RNA is filed under the name Caulobacter phage CcrColossus. Its description in RNAcentral is "tRNA-Ile". It matches the Rfam family "tRNA". From Rfam's summary of the family: Transfer RNA (tRNA) molecules are approximately 80 nucleotides in length. Lineage: Duplodnaviria; Heunggongvirae; Uroviricota; Caudoviricetes; Jeanschmidtviridae. The record is from RNAcentral.